RNAcentral lists this ribosomal RNA (241 nucleotides) under Mycoplasma ovis. RNAcentral's name for it is "partial 16S ribosomal RNA". It matches the Rfam family "Bacterial small subunit ribosomal RNA", at positions 364 to 598 of the family's 1533-position model. Lineage: Bacteria; Bacillati; Mycoplasmatota; Mollicutes; Mycoplasmatales; Mycoplasmataceae. The record is from RNAcentral.
UUUCACAAUGGACGAAAGUCUGAUGGAGCAAUACCACGUGAACGAUGAAGGUCUUCUGAUUGUAAAGUUCUUUUAUUUAGGAAAAAAAGCGCGCUAGGAAAUGAGCGCGCCUUGAUGGUACUAAUUGAAUAAGUGACAGCUAACUAUGUGCCAGCAGCUGCGGUAAAACAUAGGUCACAAGCAUUAUCCGGAUUUAUUGGGCGUAAAGGAAGCGUAGGCGGGGAGGCUGAUCCAUUGUUAA